AUGAUAGUACUUACUACUUGAUAACGUGGUAAUUCUAGAGCUAAUACAUGCUAAAAACCCCACUUCGGGAGGGGUGUAUUUAUUAGAUAAAAAACCAAUGCCCUCGGGGCUCCUGGUGAUUCAUGAUAACUUCUCAGAUCGCAUGGCUUUACGCCGCGACGGUUCAUUCAAAUUUCUGCCCUAUCAACUUUCGAUGGUAAGGUAUUGGCUUACCAUGGUUUCAACGGGUAACGGGGAAAUUAGGGUUCGAUUCCGGAGAGGGAGCCUGAGAAACGGCUACCACAUCCAAGGAAGGCAGCAGGCGCGCAAAUUACCCAAUUCCGAUACGGAGAGGUAGUGACAAUAAAUACUGAUACAGGGCUCUUUUGGGUCUUGUAAUUGGAAUGAGUACAAUUUAAACCUCUUAACGAGGAACAAUUGGAGGGCAAGUCUGGUGCCAGCAGCCGCGGUAAUUCCAGCUCCAAUAGCGUAUAUUAAAGUUGUUGCAGUUAAAAAGCUCGUAGUUGAACCUUUGGCCUGGCUGGCAGGUCCGCCUCACCGCGUGCACUUGACCGGCCGGGCCUUUUCUUCUGGAGAACCGCAUGCCCUUCACUGGGUGUGUUGGGGACCAGGACUUUUACUUUGAAAAAAUUAGAGUGUUCAAAGCAGGCCUUUGCUCGAAUACGUUAGCAUGGAAUAAUAGAAUAGGACGUGCGGUCCUAUUUUGUUGGUUUCUAGGACCGCCGUAAUGAUUAAUAGGGACAGUCGGGGGCAUCAGUAUUCAAUUGUCAGAGGUGAAAUUCUUGGAUUUAUUGAAGACUAACUACUGCGAAAGCAUUUGCCAAGGAUGUUUUCAUUAAUCAGUGAACGAAAGUUAGGGGAUCGAAGACGAUCAGAUACCGUCGUAGUCUUAACCAUAAACUAUGCCGACUAGGGAUCGG
This 920-nucleotide ribosomal RNA is filed under the name Chromolaenicola siamensis. RNAcentral describes it as "SSU rRNA". It matches the Rfam family "Eukaryotic small subunit ribosomal RNA", at positions 121 to 1056 of the family's 1831-position model. Lineage: Eukaryota; Fungi; Ascomycota; Dothideomycetes; Pleosporales; Didymosphaeriaceae. The record is from RNAcentral.